This 1322-nucleotide ribosomal RNA is filed under the name Halomonas alimentaria. Its description in RNAcentral is "bacterial SSU rRNA". It matches the Rfam family "Bacterial small subunit ribosomal RNA", at positions 140 to 1460 of the family's 1533-position model. Lineage: Bacteria; Pseudomonadati; Pseudomonadota; Gammaproteobacteria; Oceanospirillales; Halomonadaceae. The record is from RNAcentral.
GGGAUAACCUGGGGGAACUCAGGCUAAUACCGCAUACGCCCCACGGGGGAAAGCAGGGGAUCUUCGGACCUUGCGCUAUCGGAUGAGCCUAUGUCGGAUUAGCUUGUUGGUGAGGUAAUGGCUCACCAAGGCGACGAUCCGUAGCUGGUCUGAGAGGAUGAUCAGCCACAUCGGGACUGAGACACGGCCCGAACUCCUACGGGAGGCAGCAGUGGGGAAUAUUGGACAAUGGGCGAAAGCCUGAUCCAGCCAUGCUGCGUGUGUGAAGAAGGCUUUCGGGUUGUAAAGCACUUUCAGUGAGGAAGAAGGCCUUGGGGCUAAUACCCCCGAGGAAGGACAUCACUCACAGAAGAAGCACCGGCUAACUCCGUGCCAGCAGCCGCGGUAAUACGGAGGGUGCAAGCGUUAAUCGGAAUUACUGGGCGUAAAGCGCGCGUAGGCGGCUUGAUAAGCCGGUUGUGAAAGCCCCGGGCUCAACCUGGGAACGGCAUCCGGAACUGUCAGGCUAGAGUGCAGGAGAGGAAGGUAGAAUUCCCGGUGUAGCGGUGAAAUGCGUAGAGAUCGGGAGGAAUACCAGUGGCGAAGGCGGCCUUCUGGACUGACACUGACGCUGAGGUGCGAAAGCGUGGGUAGCAAACAGGAUUAGAUACCCUGGUAGUCCACGCCGUAAACGAUGUCGACUAGCCGUUGGGGUCCUAGAGACCUUUGUGGCGCAGUUAACGCGAUAAGUCGACCGCCUGGGGAGUACGGCCGCAGGGUUAAAACUCAAAUGAAUUGACGGGGGCCCGCACAAGCGGUGGAGCAUGUGGUUUAAUUCGAUGCAACGCGAAGCACCUUACCUACCCUUGACAUCGUGCGAACUUGGUAGAGAUACCUUGGUGCCUUCGGGAGCGCACAGACAGGUGCUGCAUGGCUGUCGUCAGCUCGUGUUGUGAAAUGUUGGGUUAAGUCCCGUAACGAGCGCAACCCUUGUCCCUAUUUGCCAGCGAUUCGGUCGGGAACUCUAGGGAGACUGCCGGUGACAAACCGGAGGAAGGUGGGGACGACGUCAAGUCAUCAUGGCCCUUACGGGUAGGGCUACACACGUGCUACAAUGGCCGGUACAAAGGGUUGCGAAUCCGCGAGGUGGAGCUAAUCCCGAAAAGCCGGUCUCAGUCCGGAUCGGAGUCUGCAACUCGACUCCGUGAAGUCGGAAUCGCUAGUAAUCGUGCAUCAGAAUGGCACGGUGAAUACGUUCCCGGGCCUUGUACACACCGCCCGUCACACCAUGGGAGUGGACUGCACCAGAAGUGGUUAGCCUAACUUCGGAGGGCGAUCACCAC